RNAcentral lists this small RNA (123 nucleotides) under Leptospira biflexa serovar Patoc strain 'Patoc 1 (Paris)'. RNAcentral describes it as "Flavo-1 RNA". It matches the Rfam family "Flavo-1 RNA". Lineage: Bacteria; Pseudomonadati; Spirochaetota; Leptospiria; Leptospirales; Leptospiraceae. The record is from Rfam by way of RNAcentral.
UCCCCGCCACCGAUAGUAGCGGAAAUCCUUUCUGGAUAAGGAGUGCAAUCUUGGAUUUAUACAGAUUUGAACUGCCAUUUAGAAACGUUUCCAGAAAGAUUGGAGCGGAUAGCGGGAUCGCCU